RNAcentral lists this non-coding RNA (75 nucleotides) under uncultured Butyrivibrio sp. Its description in RNAcentral is "S10-Clostridia ribosomal protein leader". It matches the Rfam family "S10-Clostridia ribosomal protein leader", at positions 1 to 70 of the family's 81-position model. The record is from RNAcentral. Lineage: Bacteria; Bacillati; Bacillota; Clostridia; Lachnospirales; Lachnospiraceae.
UGAUAGCUGUGAAACGUGAGGUUGCGCUCUGUCCAGUGGAGCGGUCAUUCCGUGGAGCGAAAGUCAGGAGGGAAC